GGACGCGCGACCGCCGCCCAGAGUCUCCGCCCCAGCUCCCUUCCUUCCCCUUCGGGCUGCUCCGUGCCCCGCUCAGGGCUCCCGGCCCCACCUUCCUGCUCAACAUCAGCUGAAAGGCUGUUCUGGCAAAACAUGCCCUCACGGGGACACAAUUGCUCAAGGAAAACAUUUCCCCUUCUUUUUCCUGGCACGGCUCUAGGCAGUUUCCCGAGCGGAGUAGUGACGAAAGCCAGAGGCUGUGGCCACUCGGGCAGUGACGACGGGACGCCCUUUGCCUCGGCUUUGCGGGCUCCAAGUGGGCCAUCCUUCACCUUCCCGACGGCAGAGUUGCAGCAGCUCGUCCUGGGAACGCUGUCCAGGCUGCAGGACCAGCCUCACGGAGCCACUCGGGAGCCCAAGGGUGUCCUGCUGCCCUGGUGCCUCCUCCUCGUGACCCCAUACAACCUAUGCACAUUUGUGUCCCAUCACUGGACUGACACCUUGGUUGUUGUUGGACAAACCCUGGUCUGCCCUACUUCCCUGGAGGAGUGUUUAUCCAGCUUAGUGUGUCUGCAGUAUCACAGAGGGGGCAGCAGCAACUGAGACAAUGGACCCCAGUGAAACGCCUUGGUGAGUGAUGACUAGAGCACAUCCAGGGGUGCUAAGCAUCCAAUGAUCAACACUUAAAUAGCCUCAGGAGGAACGAAGCUGGAACCUGUUGGAUGUAGAAUCACUUAGGAAGGGCUGUUAUCCCAUGCUGAGUUUCUCACUGCUGAUAAUGCUGCAACCAGUGAGUGGCUAUGUGACAGGAGGGAGAGGAGGGUGACUCCGUGUUGGUCUGCAGAGGAGGCCUUUACAUCCCUGAUUUGCUCUUCACAGUAGAAGUAAAACAUUUUCAUUAUUACAAGUAACUUUUUUAGUUCUAAAAUGAACACUUAUGGAGGAAGGCCUAAAAAAUCACCAAAGCUAAUUUUUUAUCAGUUUGGAUGGAAAUCACUUUUUUUUUUUCUUCUUCUAUUGCCUUGGAGUUCUUGCCAUAAGUUCUAAAGAGCAAUACAUAAUGGUGGUACCAUUGUGAGUGCCAUUCAGCUCCAAAAUCCCCCAGGGCAGGAUUUUAACAUGGGCUGCAGGGAGCGGAGAUGAUGACUUGGUGUUAGAUGAGGGAUGCUGUCUUGAGUCUGGGUAGGGUCAAGCAUGAGCCAGUAGUCCCCACUUUCUUCACAUCCUGGAGUCCCCCCAGCUUGUGGUAUGUUUUGCAUUGGAGAAUCAGUGUCAUGUCACCAAAACUAGAUGUGUGUCACUGAUGGGGUAAUGCAAUUCCAGAACCUUCCAUGUGUCCUCAAAUUGGCCACAGGCCAUAAAGCUUCCAGGGCAGUGGCCUGAGGUCCCACCUGGGUCAGCAAACUGGUAAGGAAACUCCCCUGCCAGACCAUUCAGAUCCUGCUCUGGGGGUCCCACUGGCACCACCCCCGCCUGCUGGGAUCACAGCCCCUUUGUAGCAGAGGCUUCAGUGACCCCACAGCCCCCAUGUGAGUCCCUGUACACCCCACAGUCCCCCAGUCAGAUCAGCUUCUCUCACCAGCUCAGCCCCAGGUUUCCCACAGCACAGU
Molecule: long non-coding RNA, 1589 nt
Organism: Serinus canaria (Common canary)
Lineage: Eukaryota; Metazoa; Chordata; Aves; Passeriformes; Fringillidae
Source: Ensembl